Molecule: ribosomal RNA, 395 nt
Filed under: Clostridioides difficile
Lineage: Bacteria; Bacillati; Bacillota; Clostridia; Peptostreptococcales; Peptostreptococcaceae
Description: bacterial SSU rRNA
Rfam family: Bacterial small subunit ribosomal RNA
Source: RNAcentral
UUUUAUUUGAGAGUUUGAUCCUGGCUCAGGAUGAACGCUGGCGGCGUGCCUAACACAUGCAAGUUGAGCGAUUUACUUCGGUAAAGAGCGGCGGACGGGUGAGUAACGCGUGGGUAACCUACCCUGUACACACGGAUAACAUACCGAAAGGUAUGCUAAUACGGGAUAAUAUAUUUGAGAGGCAUCUCUUGAAUAUCAAAGGUGAGCCAGUACAGGAUGGACCCGCGUCUGAUUAGCUAGUUGGUAAGGUAACGGCUUACCAAGGCGACGAUCAGUAGCCGACCUGAGAGGGUGAUCGGCCACAUUGGAACUGAGACACGGUCCAAACUCCUACGGGAGGCAGCAGUGGGGAAUAUUGCACAAUGGGCGAAAGCCUGAUGCAGCAACGCCGCGUG